GGUUGUGUAGUGUAGUGGUGAUCACUCCGGAUUUUGAUUGAACUUAAUAUUCCGGCAACCCCGGUUCGAUCCCGGGCACGACCU
This is a non-coding RNA of Zopfia rhizophila CBS 207.26, 84 nucleotides long. Lineage: Eukaryota; Fungi; Ascomycota; Dothideomycetes; Zopfiaceae. The record is from the annotation of a GenBank genome assembly.